UACGAAGGUGGCAAGCGUUGUUCGGAUUUACUGGGCGUACAGGGAGCUUAGGCGGUUGGGUAAGCCCUCCGUGAAAUCUCCGGGCCCAACCCGGAAAGUGCGGAGGGGACUGCUCGGCUAGAGGAUGGGAGAGGAGCGCGGAAUUCCCGGUGUAGCGGUGAAAUGCGUAGAGAUCGGGAGGAAGGCCGGUGGCGAAGGCGGCGCACGGGAACAUUUCUGACGCUGAGGCUCGAAAGCGUGGGGAGCAAACAGG
Molecule: ribosomal RNA, 253 nt
Filed under: uncultured bacterium
Lineage: Bacteria
Description: partial 16S ribosomal RNA
Rfam family: Bacterial small subunit ribosomal RNA
Source: RNAcentral